Molecule: ribosomal RNA, 379 nt
Filed under: uncultured eukaryote
Lineage: Eukaryota
Description: partial 18S ribosomal RNA
Rfam family: Eukaryotic small subunit ribosomal RNA
Source: RNAcentral
CAAUAGCGUAUAUUAAAGUUGUUGCGGUAAAAAAGCUCGUAGUUGGAUUUCUGUUGAGAGCGACCGGUCCAUACCAUGUAUGCGUAUCUGGCUUGCUCUCGGCAUCCUCUCGAUAGACGUUACUGCGCUUGAUUGCGUGGUGCGGAUCUCGGGACUUUUACUUUGAGGAAAUUAGAGUGUUCACGGCAGGCUUUCGCCAGAAUACAUUAGCAUGGAAUAAUGCUAUAGGAUCUUGGUUCUAUUUUGUUGGUUUCUAGAAUUGAGAUAAUGAUUAAUAGGGACAAUUGGGGGCAUUCGUAUCAACACGUCAGAGGUGGAAUUCUUGGAUUGUGUUGCGACGAACUACUGCGAAAGCAUUUGCCAAGGAUGUUUUCAUUGA